This 257-nucleotide unclassified non-coding RNA is filed under the name Stenotrophomonas indicatrix. Its description in RNAcentral is "RNaseP_bact_a". It matches the Rfam family "Bacterial RNase P class A", at positions 82 to 351 of the family's 367-position model. Rfam says of the family: Ribonuclease P (RNase P) is a ubiquitous endoribonuclease, found in archaea, bacteria and eukarya as well as chloroplasts and mitochondria. Its best characterised activity is the generation of mature 5'-ends of tRNAs by cleaving the 5'-leader elements of precursor-tRNAs. The record is from RNAcentral. Lineage: Bacteria; Pseudomonadati; Pseudomonadota; Gammaproteobacteria; Lysobacterales; Lysobacteraceae.
CGCCUGGGCGGCGCAAGCCGACGGAAAGUGCAACAGAAAGAUACCGCCUACGUCUUCUUCGGAAGGCCGGUAAGGGUGAAAUGGUGCGGUAAGAGCGCACCGCGAGUCUGGCAACAGACCGGUACGGCAAACCCCACCUGGAGCAAGACCAAAUAGGGAUCCAUUGGCGCGGCCCGCGUUGGAUCCGGGUAGGUUGCUUGAGCGUUGCGGCGACGUAACGCCUAGAGGAAUGACUGUCCACGACAGAACCCGGCUUA